GAACUGCGAUAAGUAAUGUGAAUUGCAGAAUUCAGUGAAUCAUCGAGUCUUUGAACGCACAUUGCGCCCCCUGGCAUUCCGGGGGGCAUGCCUGUCCGAGCGUCAUUGCUGCCCUUCAAGCCCGGCUUGUGUGUUGGGUCGUCGUCCCCCCCGGGGGACGGACCCGAAAGGCAGCGGCGGCACCGUGUCCGGUCCUCGAGCGUAUGGGGCUUUGUCACCCGCUCGAUUAGGACCGGCUGGGCGCCCGCCGGCGUCAAACCCCCAAUCUUUCUAAGGUUGACCUCGGAUCAGGUAGGGAUACCCGCUGAACUUAAGC
RNAcentral lists this unclassified non-coding RNA (316 nucleotides) under plant metagenome. RNAcentral describes it as "partial contains 5.8S ribosomal RNA, internal transcribed spacer 2, and large subunit ribosomal RNA". The stretch from base 1 to 105 matches the Rfam family "5.8S ribosomal RNA", at positions 50 to 154 of the family's 154-position model. The record is from RNAcentral.